Streptomyces sp. NRRL F-4428 is the source of this 291-nucleotide small RNA. It matches the Rfam family "5' ureB small RNA". Lineage: Bacteria; Bacillati; Actinomycetota; Actinomycetes; Kitasatosporales; Streptomycetaceae. The record is from Rfam.
UCGUCGACGACCGUGGGGGAGAUGAAGUGCACAUGGGCGUCGAUGGCGCCGGCGGUGACGAUCUUGCCGUUGCCGGCGAUGAUCUCGGUCUCGGGGCCGAUGACGAGGGCGGGGUGCACCCCGUCCAUGGUGUCGGGGUUGCCGGCCUUGCCGAUGCCGCAGAUGCGGCCGUCGCGGAUGCCGAGGUCGGCCUUGGUGAUGCCCCAGUGGUCGAGAAUCACGGCUCCGGUGAUCACGGUGUCGGGUGCGCCUUCGGCCCGGGUGGUGCGGGCCUGGCCCAUGGACUCGCGG